Molecule: ribosomal RNA, 478 nt
Filed under: uncultured soil bacterium
Lineage: Bacteria
Description: bacterial SSU rRNA
Rfam family: Bacterial small subunit ribosomal RNA
Source: RNAcentral
UAACGCGUAGGUAUCUAUCCAUGGGUGGGGGAUAACGUUGGGAAACCGACGCUAAUACCGCAGGAACCGAGGCAAAGGCGCGCCUAUGGAGGAGCCUGCGUCCGAUUAGCUAGUUGGUGGGGUAACAGCCUACCAAGGCGGCGAUCGGUAGCUGGUCUGAGAGGAUGAUCAGCCACACUGGGACUGAGACACGGCCCAGACUCCUACGGGAGGCAUUAGUGGGGAAUAUUGGACAAUGGGGGCAACCCUGAUCCAGCAAUGCCGCGUGGAUGAAGAAGGUCUUCGGAUUGUAAAGUCCUUUCGGCGGGGACGAUUGACGGUACCCGCAGAAGAAGCCCCGGCUAACUUCGUGCCAGCAGCCGCGGUAAUACGAAGGGGGCUAGCGUUGCUCGGAAUGACUGGGCGUAAAGGGCGCGUAGGCGGGCGGCACAGUCAGGCGUGAAAUUCCCGGGCUUAACCUGGGGGCUGCGCUUGAUAC